Papaver somniferum (opium poppy) is the source of this 1102-nucleotide long non-coding RNA. RefSeq lists it as uncharacterized. The record is from RefSeq and is a predicted model, not a curated record. The transcript is spliced from 11 exons. NCBI's taxonomy places the organism in Eukaryota, Viridiplantae, Streptophyta, Magnoliopsida, Ranunculales, Papaveraceae.
CUUAACCCAAACCUUAUAGCCGCAGCAGAAAACGCCUUCUCUAUGAACACCACCACGAACCAGAGUCCACCAUGAAUUUAUUCAUCUGAAAAUCUAAUAGAUACUCGAUAAACCUUCCACAUCUCUGAAUAUUGUGAAGUUAGGGUUUGAUUUUUCAAACAACAUCAGGUUGAUUUCUCAAUUUGGUGUUGUUAUUAGGGAUUGAUUUUGCAAACUUCACAGGUUGAUUUCUCAAUUUUGUGCGGUUAUUAGAGUUUGAUUUUACAAAUUUCACCAGGUAUUUAUUAUUUGAUUUCGGUCGGACAGCUUAACUUAUAGGAACAUCUUCAUCAGGGUACUGCAGGAGUUUCCAUAGCUAGUCUUUUGGGAGUCUCAUGUAUGCUUAUAACAGAGCACAAGGAUGGGUUAUGAUUCUCGAGUUUUGGUUCAUAAAAGUAGGAAGCAGGAACAACAGUAUUACAGAUUAUACAAAGUACUGAUACAUUCUUGAUGUGAACCAAUAUCUGUUACACAAAUUGUCAGAGAAACUGCUGCUGUCAUGCAAAAGUUUACUCAAUCUGGGUACACUGAUGAUAUGGAGCUUGAAGAUGCUACUCACACGGCUAUUUUGACUCUGAAAGAAGGGUGCUUGGAACUGAUGAUAGGAGCUUUACUGCAAAUGAGAAUGAAGCUCCGUCAAUUUUGAAAACUGUUGGAGAUGAUGAGUAUUGGAGUGGAGAAGCUCAGGGAACGAGAAAUGGGGAUACACGUACGUGAAUGAACUUGCCCAACACCUUAUAAUUCAACUGGUGGAAAUCAUGUAGCUCCCCAGCGCACAUGAAGUCGCAUGUGAACCGAGGACACGGUACAUGGAUGCUCUGCUUGAUAUCAUUUGCGAAGUAUUGGCUAAUUAAGUUCAUUAUCAUAGGAGGAGCUGAAUUAUCAUUUUGUUUUUUAUCAGUUGUCUAUUAGUUUAGCAUGUUGUUGUCAGAACUUAACUAUCUUGGACAUGUAUUCUAUGAACUCAGUAUUUCAUCUUUUUUGUGUAGUUUUACACCCAAUGGAUAAAAUGAAUGAAUGUUAAAAUUCUCAGUUUGAUUAUAAAUUUCAGUUAAAUUUGAAA